AAACUUUCAACAACGGAUCUCUUGGUUUUGGCAUUGAUGAAGAACGCAGCGAAAUGCGAUAAGUAAUGCGAAUUGCAGAAUUCCAGUGAGUCAUCGAAUCUUUGAAUGCAC
Molecule: ribosomal RNA, 111 nt
Filed under: Cladophialophora brasiliensis
Lineage: Eukaryota; Fungi; Ascomycota; Eurotiomycetes; Chaetothyriales; Herpotrichiellaceae
Description: Fonsecaea brasiliensis partial 5.8S ribosomal RNA
Rfam family: 5.8S ribosomal RNA
About the family: 5.8S ribosomal RNA (5.8S rRNA) is a component of the large subunit of the eukaryotic ribosome.
Source: RNAcentral